UAUGAAUUCAACUGGUAUUGCAACAUAAGCCUUGAGAUAUGACCAGAAUUUCAUGUUUCUGUCAAUGAAACAAGCAAAUAACAAGGAUGAAUCGCUAUGCGCAUGUGCAGUAGCCUAAACUACUCCUAGACAACAGUCAAUCAGAAGUACACCUAGGGAUUAAUGGCUUAGGCAGCUGGACUGAGGGGCUGAACUUCCUACAAAAAGAAUUGAACAUAUAGAAG
Molecule: long non-coding RNA, 224 nt
Organism: Bombina bombina (fire-bellied toad)
Lineage: Eukaryota; Metazoa; Chordata; Amphibia; Anura; Bombinatoridae
Exons: 3
Source: RefSeq, a predicted model, not a curated record